CCUACGGGGGGCAGCAGUGGGGAAUAUUGGACAAUGGGGGCAACCCUGAUCCAGCCAUGCCGCGUGUGUGAAGAAGGCCCUCGGGUUGUAAAGCACUUUCAGUGAGGAAGAACGCCUGGUGGUUAAUACCCAUCAGGAAAGACAUUACUCACAGAAGAAGCACCGGCUAACUCCGUGCCAGCAGCCCCGGUAAUACGGAGGGUGCCAGCGUUAAUCGGAAUUACUGGGCGUAAAGCGCGCGUAGGUGGCUUGAUAAGCCGGUUGUGAAAGCCCCGGGCUCAACCUGGGAACGGCAUCCGGAACUGUCAAGCUAGAGUGCAGGAGAGGAAGGCAGAAUUCCCGGUGUAGCGGUGAAAUGCGUAGAGAUCGGGAGGAAUACCAGUGGCGAAGGCGGCCUUCUGGACCGACACUGACACUGAGGUGCGAAAGCGUGGGUAGCAAACAGGAUUAGAUACCCUAGUAGUC
RNAcentral lists this ribosomal RNA (465 nucleotides) under Vreelandella stevensii. Its description in RNAcentral is "partial 16S ribosomal RNA". It matches the Rfam family "Bacterial small subunit ribosomal RNA", at positions 338 to 795 of the family's 1533-position model. The record is from RNAcentral. Lineage: Bacteria; Pseudomonadati; Pseudomonadota; Gammaproteobacteria; Oceanospirillales; Halomonadaceae.